Molecule: long non-coding RNA, 512 nt
Organism: Ictalurus punctatus (channel catfish)
Lineage: Eukaryota; Metazoa; Chordata; Actinopteri; Siluriformes; Ictaluridae
Source: Ensembl
GCAGUGCCAUUUUGUAAGGAGGGGAAAAGUGAGUAUCUAAAUCUAAAUAUAAAAAACACAGUGAGUAUCUAAAUCUAAACUUAUAACAUGUAACACUAUGAAUUGACACCAGAUUCCCCACAGUUUUGUGGGUUUAUUAUUGAACUUUUAAUGUACAUGAGCAGCAGUUUGAAUUGGUAGUUUUACAUGGUUGGUGGCUUCACAUGUCUUGGAGGAAGGGGGAGCUGGCUGGUGGUAAGGAAAUGGCUAUACUUGGACUCAGGGCUAUGAUGCAUUUCCAUUUGGAAAUUGUGUAGUUCUGGUAGCACUGUUUACAUUCAAUGAUGGUGGCUAAAAGAUCAGACUCACCAAAACGCAGCUGUUUGUACAUUAAGAGUGACCAGUCAAUGGAAUCCCCAAUUAAGUUCACAGAUGUAGACUGUACUACUGAUAAGAGACUACUGUCUAUUUCUAAAAAGGAGCUGGAACACGAAGAUAUCACAAAGUUAAAUAAUGCACUCUUGAGUCCAGAC